Mustela lutreola (European mink) is the source of this 514-nucleotide long non-coding RNA. RefSeq lists it as uncharacterized. The record is from RefSeq and is a predicted model, not a curated record. The transcript has 3 exons. Lineage: Eukaryota; Metazoa; Chordata; Mammalia; Carnivora; Mustelidae.
GGCUGCUCUUCCCGCCCUUUCUGUGCUGCUUUCUGUUCCCGCCUAGAAAGUUCCAGAAUAUCUCUGCGCUUUUUUUUGCUUGCGAUCUCUCUGGCUCACUGGUGUCUGUUCCUGUGUAUCAGGAGGGCCAGACACAAUGCAGGAAGAGCCCAAAUGUCCCCAGGGCGGAGGGACGCUGAAGAACAUCUCGCAGAAAGGCUGCCUAGACGCAGACGUGCUGGACACUGCUUGCGUAGACCCGGCAAUCAGAAGACAGAAUAGAAGUGAAGCAAACUCCACCAGCUUUUCCAGCACAUCAAGUUUGAAAUCUGUGAUUUAUGAAAGAGAACCCUGGUUUUAAAGGCACUGAGAAGGACUGCGCUGGACAAAGGAAUUGCUACCAUAUAGAGAGGAGCUCGGUGCUCUUCAGAGAUGCUCAAGAUGAGUGUAGUGACUGUGAAUAAGUAGCUACACCACCAGAGAUCUACACCACCAGAGAUCUACACCGCCAGAGAUCUACACUGCCAGAGAUCUA